Small nucleolar RNA from Myotis lucifugus (little brown bat), 125 nucleotides. Ensembl annotates it as small nucleolar RNA SNORA28. The record is from Ensembl. Lineage: Eukaryota; Metazoa; Chordata; Mammalia; Chiroptera; Vespertilionidae.
GAAUAAAUCUCUUUUCUUUUUACCAAAAUUGUCAGACAUAACUUGAACUUGCUAUAGCAAGAAAGUCUAACCUAUUCCAGUGCUCUCUCCUCUAUCAGACUAGCUGUUAUAUAGACUUAGUGUAA